GUUGAGCGGAGAUAUAUGGAGCUUGCUUUUAUAACUUAGCAGCGAACGGGUGAGUAACACGUAGAUAAUCUAUCCUAUACUGGGGGAUAGCCCGAUGAAAGUUGGAUUAAUACCGCAUAUAGCUAUAUAGUUGCAUGAUUAUGUAGUGAAAGAUUUAUUGGUAUAGGAGGAGUCUGCGGCACAUUAGCUAGUAGGUGAGGUAAAGGCUUACCUAGGCGACGAUGUGUAGCCGGUCUGAGAGGAUGAACGGCCACAAUGGAACUGAGACACGGUCCAUACUCCUACGGGAGGCAGCAGUGGGGAAUAUUGCACAAUGGGGGAAACCCUGAUGCAGCAACGCCGCGUGAGUGAAGAAGGUUUUCGGAUUGUAAAGCUCUGUUAGCAGGGAAGAGGAAGGACGGUACCUGCAGAGGAAGCCACGGCUAACUACGUGCCAGCAGCCGCGGUAAUACGUAGGUGGCAAGCGUUGUUCGGAAUAACUGGGCGUAAAGGAUGCGUAGGCGGUUAAACAAGUUAUAUGUUAAAUAUAUAGGCUUAACCUGUAGAAAGCAUAUAAAACUGUUUAACUAGAGUGCAGGAGAGGUAAGUGGAAUUCCUAGUGUAGCGGUGAAAUGCGUAGAGAUUAGGAAGAACACCAGUGGCGAAGGCGACUUACUGGACUGUAACUGACGCUGAGGCAUGAGAGCAUGGGGAGCAAACAGGAUUAGAUACCCUGGUAGUCCAUGCUGUAAACGA
This 735-nucleotide ribosomal RNA is filed under the name uncultured bacterium. Its description in RNAcentral is "bacterial SSU rRNA". It matches the Rfam family "Bacterial small subunit ribosomal RNA", at positions 61 to 809 of the family's 1533-position model. The record is from RNAcentral.